This 94-nucleotide transfer RNA is filed under the name Burkholderiales bacterium LSUCC0115. RNAcentral describes it as "tRNA-Val". Lineage: Bacteria; Pseudomonadati; Pseudomonadota; Betaproteobacteria; Burkholderiales. The record is from RNAcentral.
GGACGGCUAAGUCAUUGAACAAAAUAAGGAAUCAAAAACCGCUGGCGUCUUCACACGGCAGGGGUCACAGGUUCGAACCCUGUGCUGUCCACCA